This is a non-coding RNA of Aspergillus flavus AF70, 101 nucleotides long. Lineage: Eukaryota; Fungi; Ascomycota; Eurotiomycetes; Eurotiales; Aspergillaceae. The record is from Rfam.
GGAGAACAGGGCUUCCCGUCCGCUCAGCCGUACUUAAGCCACACGCCGGGAGGUUAGUAGUUGGGUGGGUGACCACCAGCGAAUCCCUCCUGUUGUAUGUU